RNAcentral lists this long non-coding RNA (351 nucleotides) under Ornithorhynchus anatinus (platypus). RNAcentral's name for it is "lncRNA (ENSOANG00000045321.1)". Lineage: Eukaryota; Metazoa; Chordata; Mammalia; Monotremata; Ornithorhynchidae. The record is from RNAcentral.
UGUUGAGUAGCAAUCACUGCAAAGAUUACAUUGCAGCACCUAGAAGGGAGACAAGGCUAUAUUAGACAACUCAACUUCAACCAUCAUCCCUGUUCUCCCAAAUGCUGACCAACAUAGAUCAUCUCCUCUCCAAAUAGGGGCAGAGGCCAAAGAUGCCCACAAACAGGAUAUCAAUCUGUUAAUCAUACAAAAAGUAUCCUGAAUCAAUCAAGAAGCACCACCAAGGAGCAUUCUUGAGAUCCUGCUGACUGCCAUCCCUACACGCUGAGACAAAUAACCAAAAGGACAAAAAAUUCAAGCAACCAAUCACUAGAUUGUGUCUAUCAGCUCUAUCACACUCUUAGUAUAGCA